This 445-nucleotide long non-coding RNA is filed under the name Androctonus crassicauda. Lineage: Eukaryota; Metazoa; Arthropoda; Arachnida; Scorpiones; Buthidae. The record is from RNAcentral.
UGCAGAGGUGGGUUUUGUUCCGAUCCGUUUUCCGGCCCUCGUGCCCUCUCCUUGUAAGUUUAAGGAGCUAUAGCAAAAAUUUAAUUAAAGUUAUAAUAAUAUUCAUGAUAAAGUAAAUUAUAAUAAAAAAUAUGAGAACAGAAGUAAAAACAGCAGUAAAGGAAGGUACUUUGCCAAUGAAAGAGGUGUUUGAGGAACUACUAUUGAUAUCUAAUGCGACAAUUAAUAGACUAAAUAAGAAACUCUUGCUUAUGAGUGAAGGGAAGAGUAUAAACACAUUUAAGAAAAAGGUAUCAUAUGCUCAAGUUGUAAAAAAAGCUAUAUUUAGAAAUGAUGAAAAUUCAGUAUUCAUAAAAUCUAACAAUGGAGAAGUAAAGGGAGUGGAACUGCAGAAUCUUGUAAAAAAUUAGGUGGAUAUUAAUACUUCCAAAAUUAGAGUAAAAAG